This 750-nucleotide ribosomal RNA is filed under the name Ectopseudomonas oleovorans. Its description in RNAcentral is "bacterial SSU rRNA". It matches the Rfam family "Bacterial small subunit ribosomal RNA", at positions 55 to 800 of the family's 1533-position model. The record is from RNAcentral. Lineage: Bacteria; Pseudomonadati; Pseudomonadota; Gammaproteobacteria; Pseudomonadales; Pseudomonadaceae.
AUGCAAGUCGAGCGGAUGAGAGGAGCUUGCUCCUCGAUUCAGCGGCGGACGGGUGAGUAAUGCCUAGGAAUCUGCCUAGUAGUGGGGGACAACGUUUCGAAAGGAACGCUAAUACCGCAUACGUCCUACGGGAGAAAGUGGGGGAUCUUCGGACCUCACGCUAUUAGAUGAGCCUAGGUCGGAUUAGCUAGUUGGUAGGGUAAAGGCCUACCAAGGCGACGAUCCGUAACUGGUCUGAGAGGAUGAUCAGUCACACUGGAACUGAGACACGGUCCAGACUCCUACGGGAGGCAGCAGUGGGGAAUAUUGGACAAUGGGCGAAAGCCUGAUCCAGCCAUGCCGCGUGUGUGAAGAAGGCCCUCGGGUCGUAAAGCACUUUAAGUUGGGAGGAAGGGCUUACAGCGAAUACCUGUGAGUUUUGACGUUACCGACAGAAUAAGCACCGGCUAACUUCGUGCCAGCAGCCGCGGUAAUACGAAGGGUGCAAGCGUUAAUCGGAAUUACUGGGCGUAAAGCGCGCGUAGGUGGCUUGAUAAGUUGGAUGUGAAAUCCCCGGGCUCAACCUGGGAACUGCAUCCAAAACUGUCUGGCUAGAGUGCGGUAGAGGGUAGUGGAAUUUCCAGUGUAGCGGUGAAAUGCGUAGAUAUUGGAAGGAACACCAGUGGCGAAGGCGACUACCUGGACUGACACUGACACUGAGGUGCGAAAGCGUGGGGAGCAAACAGGAUUAGAUACCCUGGUAGUCCACGC